CGAAGGGGCGUAGCGUUGCUCGGAAUUACUGGGCGUAAAGGGAGCGUAGGCGGACAUUUAAGUCAGGGGUGAAAUACCCGGGGCGUCAACCUCGGAAUUGCCUUUGAUACUGGGUGUCUUGAGUAUGAGAGAGGUGUGUGGAACUCCGAGUGUAGAGGUGAAAUUCGUAGAUAUUCGGAAGAACACCAGUGGCGAAGGCGACACACUGGCUCAUUACUGACGCUGAGGCUCGAAAGCGUGGGGAGCAAACAGGAUU
Molecule: ribosomal RNA, 256 nt
Filed under: uncultured bacterium
Lineage: Bacteria
Description: partial 16S ribosomal RNA
Rfam family: Bacterial small subunit ribosomal RNA
Source: RNAcentral